This 253-nucleotide ribosomal RNA is filed under the name uncultured bacterium. Its description in RNAcentral is "partial 16S ribosomal RNA". It matches the Rfam family "Bacterial small subunit ribosomal RNA", at positions 524 to 776 of the family's 1533-position model. The record is from RNAcentral.
UACGAGGGGGGCGAGCGUUGUUCGGAAUUAUUGGGCGUAAAGGGUGCGUAGGCGGCCUGACAAGUCUGAUGUGAAAUCCCUGGGCUCAACCCAGGGCCUGCAUCGGAAACUGUCGGGCUUGAGUAUGGGAGAGGUGAGUGGAAUUUCCGGUGUAGCGGUGAAAUGCGUAGAUAUCGGAAGGAACACCUGUGGCGAAAGCGGCUCACUGGACAGCUAUAUACGCUGAGGCACGAAAGCUAGGGGAGCAAACAGG